This 458-nucleotide ribosomal RNA is filed under the name uncultured bacterium. Its description in RNAcentral is "partial 16S ribosomal RNA". It matches the Rfam family "Bacterial small subunit ribosomal RNA", at positions 338 to 795 of the family's 1533-position model. The record is from RNAcentral.
CCUACGGGAGGCAGCAGUGGGGAAUAUUGCACAAUGGGGGAAACCCUGAUGCAGCGACGCCGCGUGAGUGAAGAAGUAUUUCGGUAUGUAAAGCUCUAUCAGCAGGGAAGAAAUAGCGACCUUUGGGUCGCCAGACGGUACCUGACUAAGAAGCCCCGGCUAACUACGUGCCAGCAGCCGCGGUAGUACGUAGGGGGCAAGCGUUAUCCGGAUGUACUGGGUGUAAAGGGAGCGUAGACGGCAGCACAAGUCUGAAGUGAAAUGCCGGGGCUUAACCCCGGAACUGCGUUGGAAACUGUGCAGCUAGAGUGCAGUAGAGGUAAGUGGAAUUCCUAGUGUAGCGGUGAAAUGCGUAGAUAUUAGGAGGAACACCAGUGGCGAAGGCGGCUUACUGGACUGUAACUGACGUUGAGGCUCGAAAGCGUGGGGAGCAAACAGGAUUAGAUACCCCGGUAGUC